UUCGGUGACUAUGGCGGAAAGGAAACACCCGUUCCCAUUUCGAACACGGAAGUUAAGCUUUCCCGCGCCGAUGGUACUGCUCUGGUGACGGGGUGGGAGAGUAGGUCGUUGCCGAGA
This 117-nucleotide ribosomal RNA is filed under the name Deltaproteobacteria bacterium. Lineage: Bacteria; Pseudomonadati; Myxococcota; Myxococcia. RNAcentral also lists the same sequence under 1 other name. The record is from RNAcentral.